UGUAAACAAAUAUUCCAGGAUAAGUUUUUGUCAAUGUAUUGUGUUUUGUCGUAUCUCGUCAUGUGUUUUCGGGAGUUCCUCUAUUCUUGUAUUUGCUCUUUUCUCUCUUGAUUUUGCUUUGCUUCUCUACAUGUCCGUAGACUCUUCGCGUUGAGUGGUGGUGGUAUGUUUGUGUGUAACAACGGUACUUUUACUGCAAGGUUGGAGGGGCGGGCGUCGAGUGUGUUGUUUAUCAGCUGUGAUCUGUGCGUGUGAAACUUUUUAGUUGUGCUGAAACGGGUGAGUAAGAGUAAGAUUAGAAACAGAAUGCCGUGUGCAUGUAUACCACAGCCUGAAGACUGAACCACCAGACUUGCUCAGAGCAGGAAUGAAGUACACGUAAUAUAAAUUGGAGCGUGGUACGCUUGCGCGUAGCAGAUCAUGGUGUGGUUAAGAAGAAAAAUGAAGCAGUGCUACAGUCAUACUAGACGCUGGAAUGGCUAGUAUUGGUUGAAGUUUUCUUAUUUUUCAGAUUCAAAAAUCUGUUUGCUCUACAAAGUCGAUGAGCGCAUCUAAUCAGGUAAAUAUAAUUAUAUGCUUUUAUCCCAGAUAUCUGGCUUAUAGUUUUUUGCCUUUUAGUUCUGCAGCGCCAUGGUGAACGUUGGGAGGUGUUGGCACGGAAGACGGAGCGGGAAAAGGAUCACGAUAACUAUGUGGUGAGGAGGAUAUCAACGGAUUGUGCAUUUACAGUUAGCGGGUGAGCUGUACCUCGUAGGAGAACCUGGCCAUGGGUAUCGGAGAAUGCAUAUCGUAUGCUGGGAUCGUGCGCGGCCUUGAGCACUGACUUUGCUCGAUCACGGGUUCCAAAUUGGUCAUUACGUUACCGGCGGCUUGCCAGCAAUCAGCAUUGGGUGUUCUUUUUCCGUUCAGUUCUUCCUACCGUCCUUCUGUGUAUAAAUUGCCUUCCAUUAACAUCUCCCGACAACAAGUUGGAGUUGCUUCUAGCACGGAUUAUGAUGGUGCUGUUGCUGAAGAGGAAUGUUUUGUUGCCUGGUUGCACUGGACAAGAUGGUUCACACAGUGUAGUCGAUCUCCUGUUGGUGUCGAUUGUAUACCGUUUCAGAGGUUUAAAGAGGAGUGAGGAGCUUCCUUACUACAAAGUUCUUUAUAUAAGGUGAAAAAGUGUACAAGGGCCAACCAUUUGGUGUUUGUACUCGAUGAUCCCUUCGAGCCGGAGGCCCAUCCCGGCCGCUCAGUGCGAUAGUGUUAGGUGCUAGGAAUACAAGAUGUAAAUAUAAAAUGGUUACUUUACAUGUUAAUACAGAAGAGGUAUUAUAAAGGUUAUAGAA
Long non-coding RNA from Anopheles stephensi (Asian malaria mosquito), 1328 nucleotides. RefSeq lists it as uncharacterized. The transcript has 2 exons. The record is from RefSeq and is a predicted model, not a curated record. NCBI's taxonomy places the organism in Eukaryota, Metazoa, Arthropoda, Insecta, Diptera, Culicidae.